Molecule: ribosomal RNA, 468 nt
Filed under: uncultured bacterium
Lineage: Bacteria
Description: partial 16S ribosomal RNA
Rfam family: Bacterial small subunit ribosomal RNA
Source: RNAcentral
GACGAACGCUGGCGGCGUGCUUAACACAUGCAAGUCGAACGGAAAGGCCCUGCUUUUGUUGGGUGCUCGAGUGGCGAACGGGUGAGUAACACGUGAGUAACCUGCCCUUGACUUUGGGAUAACUUCAGGAAACUGGGGCUAAUACCGGAUAGAAUCUCCUGCUGCAUGGUGUGGGUUGGAAAGUUUCGGCGGUUGUGGAUGGACUCGCGGCUUAUCAGCUUGUUGGUGGGGUAGUGGCUUACCAAGGCUUUGACGGGUAGCCGGCCUGAGAGGGUGACCGGCCACAUUGGGACUGAGAUACGGCCCAGACUCCUACGGGAGGCAGCAGUGGGGAAUAUUGCACAAUGGGCGGACGCCUGAUGCAGCAACGCCGCGUGCGGGAUGACGGCCUUCUGGUUGUAAACCGCUUUCGCCUGUGACGAGGCGUGAGUGACGGUAAUGGGUAAAGAAGCACCGGCUAACUACGUG